Molecule: ribosomal RNA, 497 nt
Filed under: uncultured bacterium
Lineage: Bacteria
Description: partial 16S ribosomal RNA
Rfam family: Bacterial small subunit ribosomal RNA
Source: RNAcentral
GAUGAACGCUGGCGGCGUGCCUAAUACAUGCAAGUCGAGCGAACAGAUGAGGAGCUUGCUCCUCUGACGUUAGCGGCGGACGGGUGAGUAACACGUGGAUAACCUACCUAUAAGACUGGGAUAACUUCGGGAAACCGGAGCUAAUACCGGAUAAUAUAUUGAACCGCAUGGUUCAAUAGUGAAAGACGGUUUUGCUGUCACUUAUAGAUGGAUCCGCGCCGCAUUAGCUAGUUGGUAAGGUAACGGCUUACCAAGGCAACGAUGCGUAGCCGACCUGAGAGGGUGAACGGCCACACUGGAACUGAGACACGGGCCAGACUCCUACGGGAAGCAGCAGGAGGGAAUCUUCCGCAAUGGGCGAAAGCCUGACGGAGCAAAGCCGCGUGAGUGAUGAAGGUCUUCGGAUCGUAAAACUCUGUUAUUAGGGAAAAACAAAAGUGUAAGUAACUAUGCACGUCUUGACGGUACCUAAUCAGAAAAGCACGGCUAACUUCGUG